GAUAAACGCUGGCGGCGUGCUUAAUACAUGCAAGUCGAGCGGCAGCAUGGUCUUCGGACUGAUGGCGAGCGGCGGACGGCUGAGUAACGCGUAGGAACGUACCCCAAAGUGAGGAAUAACUGCCCGAAAGGGUAGCUAAUGCCGCAUGUGGUCUUCGGAUUAAAGCUUUAUGCGCUUUGGGAACGGCCUGCGUACGAUUAGCUUGUUGGUGAGGUAAUGGCUUACCAAGGCAGUGAUCGUUAGCUGGUCUGAGAGGAUGACCAGCCAGACUGGGACUGAGACACGGCCCAGACUCCUACGGGAGGCAGCAGUAGGGAAUUUUCCACAAUGGGCGAAAGCCUGAUGGAGCAACGCCGCGUGCAGGAUGAAGGCCUUCGGGUCGUAAACUGCUUUUCUUUGUGAGGAUUAUGACAGUAGCAGAGGAAUAAGGAUCGGCUAACUCCGUGCCAGCAGCCGCGGUCAUACGGAGGAUCCAAGCGUUAUCCGGAAUUACUGGGCGUAAAGAGUUGCGUAGGCGGCAGAGUAAGCAGAGUGUGAAAUCGUGUGGCUCAACCAUACAUCCAUACUUUGAACUGCUCAGCUAGAGAAUGAGAGAGGUGGCUGGAAUUCCCAGUGUAGGAGUGAAAUCCGUAGAUAUUGGGAGGAACACCGAUGGCGUAGGCAGGCCACUGGCUCAUUUCUGACGCUCAGGCACGAAAGCGUGGGGAGCGACCGGGAUUAGAUACCCCGUUAGUCCGCGCCGUAAACUAUGGAUGCUAGCUGUGUUCCGUAUCGAUCCGGGACGUAGCGAAGCUAACGCGUUAAGCAUCCCGCCUGUGGAGUACGGUCGCAAGACUAAAACAUAAAGGAAUUGACGGGGACCCGCACAAGCGGUGGAGCGUGUUCUUUAAUUCGAUGGUAAGCGAAGAACCUUACCAGGGUUUGACAUCCCGUGAAUUUUGUCGAAAGAUGA
Molecule: ribosomal RNA, 952 nt
Filed under: uncultured bacterium
Lineage: Bacteria
Description: bacterial SSU rRNA
Rfam family: Bacterial small subunit ribosomal RNA
Source: RNAcentral